This 71-nucleotide transfer RNA is filed under the name Candidatus Woesebacteria bacterium RIFOXYA1_FULL_38_9. RNAcentral's name for it is "tRNA-Pro". It matches the Rfam family "tRNA". Rfam says of the family: Transfer RNA (tRNA) molecules are approximately 80 nucleotides in length. Their secondary structure includes four short double-helical elements and three loops (D, anti-codon, and T loops). Further hydrogen bonds mediate the characteristic L-shaped molecular structure. tRNAs have two regions of fundamental functional importance: the anti-codon, which is responsible for specific mRNA codon recognition, and the 3' end, to which the tRNAs corresponding amino acid is attached (by aminoacyl-tRNA synthetases). tRNAs cope with the degeneracy of the genetic code in two manners: having more than one tRNA (with a specific anti-codon) for a particular amino acid; and 'wobble' base-pairing, i.e. permitting non-standard base-pairing at the 3rd anti-codon position. The record is from RNAcentral. RNAcentral also lists the same sequence under 1 other name. Lineage: Bacteria; Candidatus Woeseibacteriota.
CGGGGUGUGGUUCAGUGGUAGAAUGGGCGCAUGGGGUGCGUCCGAUCCCAGUUCGAUUCUGGGCACCCCGA